Molecule: long non-coding RNA, 306 nt
Organism: Terrapene triunguis (Three-toed box turtle)
Lineage: Eukaryota; Metazoa; Chordata; Testudines; Emydidae
Exons: 3
Source: RefSeq, a predicted model, not a curated record
CACCUAACUGUCUAUAGUGUAAGCUCUUUCGGGCUGGGAAUAUCUAAUGUCUGUAAGGCACUGGGGCCUGGGACUGUAUGAAGUAGUGAUCACUCAUUCCUGCCUAAAAUCUAAGGAGAGUACUUUCCACCUUUCACCUGAUGCUGCAGGAUGCAAGAUCUUCCAGCAGACCAGAGACAACCCCCCACAAGAGGACCCUGCUUAUGACAAACUUCAUUGGAUGCCAAGUGAGAUCUUCUCUCCUGAGUCAGCCGGAAGCAGAAAAACUAAUAGGGCAAGUGCCGAUAUCAGCAUGCAAGGAAUGAG